UGGGGAAUAUUGCACAAUGGGCGCAAGCCUGAUGCAGCCAUGCCGCGUGUAUGAAGAAGGCCUUCGGGUUGUAAAGUACUUUCAGUCGGGAGGAAGGUGGUAAGGUUAAUAACCUUGGCAAUUGACGUUACCGACAGAAGAAGCACCGGCUAACUCCGUGCCAGCAGCCGCGGUAAUACGGAGGGUGCAAGCGUUAAUCGGAAUUACUGGGCGUAAAGCGCACGCAGGCGGUUGAUUGAGUCAGAUGUGAAAUCCCCGGGCUUAACCCGGGAAUUGCAUCUGAUACUGGUCAGCUAGAGUCUGGUAGAGGGGGGUAGAAUUCCAUGUGUAGCAGUGAAAUGCGUAGAGAUGUGGAGGAAUACCGGUGGCGAAGGCGGCCCCCUGGACAAAGACUGACGCUCAGGUGCGAAAGCGUGGGGAGCAAACAGG
This 429-nucleotide ribosomal RNA is filed under the name Chloroflexota bacterium. Its description in RNAcentral is "Chloroflexi bacterium partial 16S ribosomal RNA". It matches the Rfam family "Bacterial small subunit ribosomal RNA", at positions 355 to 776 of the family's 1533-position model. The record is from RNAcentral. Lineage: Bacteria; Bacillati; Chloroflexota.